AUGAACGCUGGCGGCGUGCCUAAUACAUGCAAGUCGAGCGAACAGACGAGGAGCUUGCUCCUCUGACGUUAGCGGCGGACGGGUGAGUAACACGGGGAUAACCUACCUAUAAGACUGGGAUAACUUCGGGAAACCGGAGCUAAUACCGGAUAAUAUAUUGAACCGCAUGGUUCAAUAGUGAAAGACGGUUUUGCUGUCACUUAUAGAUGGAUCCGCGCCGCAUUAGCUAGUUGGUAAGGUAACGGCUUACCAAGGCAACGAUGCGUAGCCGACCUGAGAGGGUGAUCGGCCACACUGGAACUGAGACACGGUCCAGACUCCUACGGGAGGCAGCAGUAGGGAAUCUUCCGCAAUGGGCGAAAGCCUGACGGAGCAACGCCGCGUGAGUGAUGAAGGUCUUCGGAUCGUAAAACUCUGUUAUUAGGGAAGAACAAAUGUGUAAGUAACUAUGCACGUCUUGACGGUACCUAAUCAGAAAGCCACGGCUAACUACGUG
Molecule: ribosomal RNA, 496 nt
Filed under: uncultured bacterium
Lineage: Bacteria
Description: partial 16S ribosomal RNA
Rfam family: Bacterial small subunit ribosomal RNA
Source: RNAcentral